Long non-coding RNA from Carassius gibelio (silver crucian carp), 781 nucleotides. RefSeq lists it as uncharacterized. NCBI's taxonomy places the organism in Eukaryota, Metazoa, Chordata, Actinopteri, Cypriniformes, Cyprinidae. The record is from RefSeq and is a predicted model, not a curated record. The transcript has 5 exons.
GUUGAUGACUCGGUCAGACCUGGAUUAUUUUAUAUCUGCCUGUUGAAUUCUUACAUUUUGAGCGAAUUUUAGUUGAUAUGUCAAUGAAGAACAAAAGCUGGAAUGUGAACAGAGGAAGGGGUUGUUCGUGGUCUGUAAAUACUGGCGAUAUCAGAUCAAGCAUUGGAAUAAGAUUUUUAUCGGGGGAGGACACCCAACAGAAAGAUGUGAUGUGAAAGAAAUGAUUCACCAACUGGCGCACUGAAACGGGAGAUUCAUGUCACCUUCAUCAGUUCUUUCUUUAAUCACUGGACACCAUUAAGGGAAAGACCCUCAGAUAACAGGAUAAAUGGGGCUGCAGGUUUUGACAGAUUGGACUAGUUAACUUACUUCAACAACUUCUGGGAUGAUGCAAUCCCAACGAAAAAGGGUCACGAUUGUGUGUUGGAACCACAGGCGGUGAGUAAAACUGCUUAAAAUAUCUCUACCUCCUUGUUAGUGCAUCCGCCUCCCAUCGGAGACCCGGGUUCGAGCCCCGCUCGGAGCGAGUCCUUGCUGCUGCUGCUCUCGUUCAGUUUCAGCCUUCACAGCUGUCACAGCUUCCAAACGCUCUCAACGCAACUGGCGCUCGUGAUUCUUUAGCUCCGCCCACACGUCACGCCUCCAGGCGCUCGUGUUUUUCCGGGAAAAAUCGGUACAGACUAUCUUUCUCUUAUGAAUAUAAUAAAACUAAAUACUUUUUGGAGUUAUUAAGGAUGCAGUACUACUCUAUAGGUACUCAAGAUUAACAUGAUAUUGUAUA